GACAGAGGGUGCAAACGUUGUUCGGAAUUACUGGGCGUAAAGCGCGUGUAGGCGGCUAUCUAAGUCGGGCGUGAAAUCCCAUGGCUCAACCAUGGAAGUGCACCCGAAACUGGGCAGCUAGAGUCCUGGAGAGGAAGGUGGAAUGCUUGGUGUAGAGGUGAAAUUCGUAGAUAUCAAGCGGAACACCGGUGGCGAAGGCGGCCUUCUGGACAGUGACUGACGCUGAGACGCGAAAGCGUGGGGAGCAAACAGG
RNAcentral lists this ribosomal RNA (253 nucleotides) under uncultured bacterium. Its description in RNAcentral is "partial 16S ribosomal RNA". It matches the Rfam family "Bacterial small subunit ribosomal RNA", at positions 524 to 776 of the family's 1533-position model. The record is from RNAcentral.